This 118-nucleotide ribosomal RNA is filed under the name Chitinispirillales bacterium. Its description in RNAcentral is "partial 16S ribosomal RNA". It matches the Rfam family "Bacterial small subunit ribosomal RNA", at positions 1 to 119 of the family's 1533-position model. Lineage: Bacteria; Pseudomonadati; Fibrobacterota; Chitinispirillia; Chitinispirillales. The record is from RNAcentral.
AAAACGGAGAGUUUGAUCCUGGCUCAGAACGAACGCUGGCGGCGUGCCUAAUACAUGCAAGUCGUGCGUGAUCUAGGGGCAACUCUAGUGAAAGCGGCGAACGGGUGAGUAACACGUA